AACGCUUUCGUGCCACUAACACCGGCCCCGAAAGGAAGCAAAGUUGGGAGGCUCAGUCGCGGCGUGGGCCCGUGCAGCCCUCCUGGCCCCCCGCGGGCCGCGCUCGGGGCUCCCUCAUGCUCGUGCCCUUAAACUGCGCCAUCAUUUCUUCUCUUGAGCAAAGUGCUUCGUCAUUCCUCUCUGGGAGGCAGGUAGGUGAUGAAACCACGGCACAGAGAAAUGACCUGAUCUCUCCAAGGUCGUUAUGGAAGGCCGUGGCCAAACCCCACGGAGCAGAGUUUACCGGCCCGAAAUGCUUUUCCGGUGGGUGAUCUUAACCGCAGGGGAGCAGGUUCAAUGCCCCGGCGUACGGGGGUGGAGGAAGGGAUCACAGUGUCUGCGAGUGCCUGACCCCACCCGUCCCGCGUAGUAUUCACCGCUCCCUGGGCUCAAUAACUUCCAUUCUCCUAACAGAGAUGGAAAGUGCCGUCGUAUCCCUCUUUGAUGAUUUAAAAGUGUUGUGUGCCUUUUCCUCUUUCCUCUUUCUCUCCAGCCCUCGCCCUUCCCGUGCCGCUUUUCACGUUUCCAUAGUAACCACCUCUAUUGUAUCCGUGACCGUGAAGAGAAAUCUUGCAGAUGUUAGUAGAGAUCCAACACCUUCCAGCAGCUAUUUUGAUUCACAGUCUCCUUAUCUCUCGGCGCUGAUUUUCUGGUCCUUUCUUCUCCUUACAGCUGCUCGCUUUCCCCCAAGUACCUGCAAGCCCUUCAGCGUGGCUCCCUCUGUCCUGCACGAGCCUGGCUCCCGCUCGCCUCCACCCCAGCCUCGUGGAAAGCUCGGGACCACACCCGUGCCUUGGAACGUCUUCAUUCUGUGCAUUGCCCGCAGAGGGAUCAGCCACCUUUCCUUGCUGGUUCAGAGGACAGGGCAGACAUGGGAACACGCACACGCUCUCAUCAGGGCUUUGAAGACCCUCGACACCUGAAUCCCCCACCUCCCCUCUCGGGGCCAGGCUCAGCUGGCCACCUGGAAAGGCCAUCAGAAUGGGGCUUUACCGUUCCCCUCCCGAAACUGCUUGAAGAGUUCAUAGCCUACAAUCCCUCCUUGGAACCGGGCAUUAUUCUCUUGAUUACACAAGCCUGACAGCCUGAUCAUAAUAAACAUGUAACUGAAGAGAACC
Long non-coding RNA from Herpailurus yagouaroundi (jaguarundi), 1157 nucleotides. RefSeq lists it as uncharacterized. The record is from RefSeq and is a predicted model, not a curated record. The transcript is spliced from 2 exons. NCBI's taxonomy places the organism in Eukaryota, Metazoa, Chordata, Mammalia, Carnivora, Felidae.